UAGAAAUUUUGAAGAAACUUGGACAUUGCACCUCCUCUGCAACCUGCCCUGCUUGGCUGAAUGACUAAUCUUGCUGCCACUGCUGAAUGGUUAUGGCAACUGGUUAAUUGCUAUUUCAAGCAUUCAAUUGAAUUGUAUUCAGUAAUAAUUUAUUGUAAUAGUAUUGAAUAAAUAAUCAAUUGUAUUCAGUAUAGUAUUGAAUAAUUUAUUGUAAUAGUAUUGAAUAAAUAAAUAUUAAUUGUA
This is a long non-coding RNA of Anneissia japonica, 243 nucleotides long. RefSeq lists it as uncharacterized. NCBI's taxonomy places the organism in Eukaryota, Metazoa, Echinodermata, Crinoidea, Comatulida, Comatulidae. The record is from RefSeq and is a predicted model, not a curated record. The transcript is spliced from 2 exons.